GUACGCCUUUGUCUGUGAUGAGGAGGGCUUUAAGUACUCAAAGUGUCGAAGGUGAUUGGUUUGCAGGCAGGCAGGCAGUGCGGGGCUCGUCGGAGCAGCAAACGCUGCAGUGAAUGCUGGAAAUAUGACAAGCUACCUGUCCACGAGCUAGCAGAAUUCCUCUGG
Girardinichthys multiradiatus is the source of this 165-nucleotide long non-coding RNA. RefSeq lists it as uncharacterized. Lineage: Eukaryota; Metazoa; Chordata; Actinopteri; Cyprinodontiformes; Goodeidae. The record is from RefSeq and is a predicted model, not a curated record. The transcript is spliced from 3 exons.